CAUUCAUAAAAUCGUGGGGACAAACGAGGCAUUUGUCUGAGAGGA
RNAcentral lists this small RNA (45 nucleotides) under Arabidopsis thaliana (thale cress). RNAcentral describes it as "ATSL307640". Lineage: Eukaryota; Viridiplantae; Streptophyta; Magnoliopsida; Brassicales; Brassicaceae. The record is from RNAcentral.